This 1280-nucleotide long non-coding RNA is filed under the name Rattus norvegicus (Norway rat). Its description in RNAcentral is "long non-coding RNA NONRATT010475". Lineage: Eukaryota; Metazoa; Chordata; Mammalia; Rodentia; Muridae. The record is from RNAcentral.
UGUCUUAAGACCUACAAUGUAGAUUCUUAUGUGAAUAAAAUAUAUUUGUUUCUGAGAAUCAUGUGUUGUUUUUAAGAAUUGUACAGAUUUUAAAUUAUUUUCUGAUCAUGAUGUCCUUGUCUUACUGAAGGACAGAAAUAAGCAUCCUUUACCUUAUUCUGGGGAUGAUGGUGUCAUCAUCUGUUUCCCAACCUAUGUGUUGUUAAAAGAGCUAAUAUGUAAUUAUGGGUUCAUUCACGUUGACCUGAGGUGAGUAGUGGAUUGACAUAGGGCUAUUUUAAACUUACCUUAUUUCUAGAUAGUCAAAUUAAAACUGUUUGUGGUAUUUAUAAUUCUUUUAAAGUAGUUUUUUCUAUUUAAGGGUCAAUAUUCUCUCGAGUUGAAGAAGACUAUCUCUGGAGGAUAAAACAACUAGGAUCCCACUCUCCAGUAGCACUUUUGAACACCCUAUUCUACUUUAACACUAAAUAUUUUGGCCUGAAAACAGUGGAACAACACUUAAGACUUUCCUUUGGCACUGUGUUUAGGCAUUGGAAAAAAAAUCCUUUAACAAUGGAAAAUAAAGCGUGUCUUCGCUAUCAGGUGUCUUCCUUGUGUGGAACAGACAAUGAAGGUAGUGUAACUUUUUAAACACAAGAUGUGUCUCUAUUUUAUAUGCUUGAAUGUAUGUGUGCAUCACACAUGGCCAGUGCUCGCUGGUAUCAUAAGAAGUGUCAGACCCCCUGGAACUGGGCUUUGAAUGGUUGUGAGCCACCAUGUAGGUGCAGGGACCUGAACUCAGGUAUUCUGCAAGAGCAAUACAUACUCUUAACCUCUGAGCCAUCACUGGCCCUGAUAGUAUAGCAGUUUUAUUUGGAGAUUGUCUAUGGUGGGAGUAUUCAAACUUUCCUUACUAAAGCAAGUCAUUCAUUAAGAGACUUUCCUAAAACACAGCAGACUGUGUAUUUGGGGGUUUGUUGUUGUUUUAGUUUUUGUUGUUUUGGUUUUCUUUGUUUCUUUUUCAGACAGGGUCUCACUAUAUUGUGUUGGCUAGUCUAGAAUUCCCUGUGUAGACUAGGGCUGCCUCAAACUCCUAGAGAUCCAUUUGCUUUUUUCAAACUGUAUUAUCUUAAAAUGUCUUAUGUCUUGUUGUGGUUCGUUUUGAGAUAAGAUUUCUAGUCCAAACUGGCCUUAAGCCAUAUAGCAAAGAAUGACCUUGAAUCUGUGGUUCCUAUUCUGAGACACAGGCAUGAACCACUAUACCUGUGUUUAAGCUGAGCUCAGGUUCAGACUGGGCCUUC